CAGGAGUCGGCGGUGAUUUGAUAAGUAGUUGUUCGUAAAUUGAAUGACAGGGAAUUUCAAUUCUGUUUCUUCGUGGAAGGGAAAAGUAUUUUAAAAGUGCCGUUCUGUGUGUGCUGAGAAAUCUGACGAGGCAAAUGUGGAACCCACUGACUUCUUUUAACCCCUGCGCUGUAAACAGGAGAAGCUUCACAGGUUAUGCUGAACUGCUGCUGCUAAGUUAACAAAUUUCACAUCAGAUGCUGGUGAUAAUAAACCCGAUUCUGAUUCUAAGGAGUAUGAGAUAGAGAAUGGGACUCCACAGGGGAGUGUGUGUAGUCUACUCUGUUUUAAUAUUAUGAUUAAUGAUAUUUUCUUAAAUGUUGGCACAGACUUAUCCAGAUCAUUAUAUGCUGAUGCUGGUGCAGUGUGGAAGAGAGGCAGGAAUA
Long non-coding RNA from Hypanus sabinus (Atlantic stingray), 425 nucleotides. RefSeq lists it as uncharacterized. The record is from RefSeq and is a predicted model, not a curated record. NCBI's taxonomy places the organism in Eukaryota, Metazoa, Chordata, Chondrichthyes, Myliobatiformes, Dasyatidae. The transcript has 3 exons.